RNAcentral lists this ribosomal RNA (529 nucleotides) under uncultured bacterium. RNAcentral's name for it is "bacterial SSU rRNA". It matches the Rfam family "Bacterial small subunit ribosomal RNA", at positions 981 to 1509 of the family's 1533-position model. The record is from RNAcentral.
UUGACAUCCAGAGAAUUUAGCAGNGAUGCUUUAGUGCCUUCGGGAACUCUGAGACAGGUGCUGCAUGGCUGACGUCAGCUCGUGUUGUGAAAUGUUGGGUUAAGUCCCGCAACGAGCGCAACCCUUAUCCUUUGUUGCCAGCACGUAAUGGUGGGAACUCAAAGGAGACUGCCGGUGAUAAACCGGAGGAAGGUGGGGAUGACGUCAAGUCAUCAUGGCCCUUACGAGUAGGGCUACACACGUGCUACAAUGGCGUAUACAAAGAGAAGCGACCUCGCGAGAGCAAGCGGACCUCAUAAAGUGCGUCGUAGUCCGGAUUGGAGUCUGCAACUCGACUCCAUGAAGUCGGAAUCGCUAGUAAUCGUAAAUCAGAAUGUUACGGUGAAUACGUUCCCGGGCCUUGUACACACCGCCCGUCACACCAUGGGAGUGGGUUGCAAAAGAAGUAGAUAGCUUAACCUUCGGGAGGGCGUUUACCACUUUGUGAUUCAUGACUGGGGUGAAGUCGUAACAAGGUAAGCGUAGUGCU